AUACUAUAAGAGAUUUUAGAUCCUAUAUAUACCGCUAAAUUCGUCAGUUUUUCAUCCGUUAUCCACUAUCCUUUCUUCGUAAGGUAACCAACGGCUAAACAGAUAUUUUAGGUGUUACUGAUUCAUCUCAAAAUGACAGUUCCAGUUUCUUACUUUGCUGUUCUUGCCAUCGUUGUUCUGCAGUCUAUGAAUGCAGCUACAAUAUUUGACCCAGAUCUGGAUAUUCACUGGGAAAACUUUAAGAGAACAUUUCAAAAGCAAUACAGUGGAUCCGAGGAAGGAGCAAGACGACUCAUCUUUGAAGGUCAUGUCA
Stegodyphus dumicola is the source of this 313-nucleotide long non-coding RNA. Lineage: Eukaryota; Metazoa; Arthropoda; Arachnida; Araneae; Eresidae. The record is from RefSeq and is a predicted model, not a curated record.